RNAcentral lists this ribosomal RNA (305 nucleotides) under uncultured bacterium. RNAcentral describes it as "bacterial SSU rRNA". It matches the Rfam family "Bacterial small subunit ribosomal RNA", at positions 338 to 661 of the family's 1533-position model. The record is from RNAcentral.
CCUACGGGGGGCAGCAGUGGGGAAUUUUGCGCAAUGGGGGAAACCCUGACGCAGCAACGCCGCGUGCGGGACGAAGGCCCUCGGGUCGUAAACCGCUUUCAGCAGGGAAGACCACGACGGUACCUGCAGAAGAAGCUCCGGCUAACUACGUGCCAGCAGCCGCGGUAAUACGUAGGGGGCGAGCGUUAUCCGGAUUCAUUGGGCGUAAAGCGCGCGUAGGCGGCCGCCUAAGCGGAACCUCUAACCCCGGGGCUCAACCUCGGGCCGGGUUCCGGACUGGGCGGCUCGAGUGCGGUAGAGGAGAG